This 484-nucleotide ribosomal RNA is filed under the name uncultured bacterium. RNAcentral's name for it is "partial 16S ribosomal RNA". It matches the Rfam family "Bacterial small subunit ribosomal RNA", at positions 30 to 507 of the family's 1533-position model. The record is from RNAcentral.
AUUGAACGCUGGCGGCAGGCCUAGCACAUGCAAGUCGAGCGGAUGAAGGGAGCUUGCUCCUGGAUUCAGCGGCGGACGGGUGAGUAAUGCCUAGGAAUCUGCCUGGUAGUGGGGGAUAUCGUCCGGAAACGGGCGCUAAUACCGCAUACGUCCUGAGGGAGAAAGUGGGGGAUCUUCGGACCUCACGCUAUCAGAUGAGCCUAGGUCGGAUUAGCUAGUUGGUGGGGUAAAGGCCUACCAAGGCGACGAUCCGUAACUGGUCUGAGAGGAUGAUCAGUCACACUGGAACUGAGACACGAUCCAGACUCCUACGGGAGGCAGCAGUGGGGAAUAUUGGACAAUGGGCGAAAGCCUGAUCCAGCCAUGCCGCGUGUGUGAAGAAGGUCUUCGGAUUGUAAAGCACUUUAAGUUGGGAGGAAGGGCAGUAAGUUAAUACCUUGCUGUUUUGACGUUACCAACAGAAUAAGCACCGGCUAACUUCGUG